RNAcentral lists this long non-coding RNA (314 nucleotides) under Zostera marina. Its description in RNAcentral is "long non-coding RNA (ZMAR_LNC003667)". The record is from RNAcentral. Lineage: Eukaryota; Viridiplantae; Streptophyta; Magnoliopsida; Alismatales; Zosteraceae.
GAUUCAAAGAUCUGGGGGUCUGAGCGAUCGAGAAAGGCAAAGAGUGUUGUGAGGGUUUGGGGAAAACCUCUCCACUAUUUAUAGGCCUUGGGAAAAUUACAAAAACCCCCCAGAGAACCCAAAAUUUACGAAAUUUGAGAUCAAGAUUCGAUCUCCAAAUCCCCCUAAUCACGCCAAGUCGCCGACUCCGGGCAAAGAUUCACGGCAAUGUGAGAUACUUUCCUUAUUUGGAGAUUUUUCAAAUAUUCCCCGUAUAUCUCCCAAAUAUUCCAAGGAUCUCUUGAAAAGAUCCGACGGUUACGUUAGGAGUCGCC